This 426-nucleotide ribosomal RNA is filed under the name uncultured bacterium. RNAcentral describes it as "bacterial SSU rRNA". It matches the Rfam family "Bacterial small subunit ribosomal RNA", at positions 354 to 796 of the family's 1533-position model. The record is from RNAcentral.
GUAAGGGAUAUUGCGCAAUGGGCGAAAGCCUGACGCAGCAACGCCGCGUGGAGGAUGACGGCCUUCGGGUUGUAAACUCCUUUGGACGCUGACGAGGAAGGACGGUAAGCGUCGAACAAGUCACGGCUAACUACGUGCCAGCAGCCGCGGUAAAACGUAGGUGGCAAGCGUUAUCCGGAUUUACUGGGCGUAAAGCGUGUGCAGGCGGACUGCCAAGUGGUGUAUGAAAGCGCUCGGCUCAACCGAGCAGGGUUAUGCCAGACUGGUGGUCUUGAGGAGGCGAGAGGGACGUGGAAUUCCGGGUGUAGUGGUGAAAUGCGUAGAGAUCCGGAGGAACCCCCGAGGCGAAGGCGGCGUCCUGGCGCCCUCCUGACGCUCAGACACGACAGCAUGGGGAGCGAACGGGAUUAGAAACCCGAGUAGUCC